UCCCACGUGGACCAGGAGGACCUGGAAAGCUACGGACUCUUCGGCCUCAUCGAGGCCGUGGAGCGGUUCGAUCCCGCCCGCGGCACC
Molecule: transfer RNA, 87 nt
Filed under: Caldinitratiruptor microaerophilus
Lineage: Bacteria; Bacillati; Bacillota; Clostridia; Eubacteriales; Symbiobacteriaceae
Description: tRNA-Arg
Source: RNAcentral